This 253-nucleotide ribosomal RNA is filed under the name uncultured bacterium. RNAcentral's name for it is "partial 16S ribosomal RNA". It matches the Rfam family "Bacterial small subunit ribosomal RNA", at positions 524 to 776 of the family's 1533-position model. The record is from RNAcentral.
UACGGAGGGUGCAAGCAUUAAUCGGAUUUAUUGGGCGUAAAGGGCGCGUAGGCGGGUAGGCAAGUCAGAUGUGAAAUCCCGGAGCUCAACUCCGGAACAGCAUUUGAAACUGCCAAUCUAGAGGGUAGGCGGAGAAAAUAGAAUUCCACAAGUAGCGGUGAAAUGCGUAGAUAUGUGGAAGAAUACCAGUGGCGAAGGCGAUUUUCUAGCUUAUACCUGACGCUGAGGCGCGAAAGCAAGGGGAUCAAACAGG